GUGUGUGUGUGUGUGUGUGUAUUUCUGGUAAUUCGUGUCUGGGUGCUUGCGAUAUUCAUGGAAUGUUGUUCUUUACACCAGUGGUCAGUUCGUGUGGCUAGGGCUUAAGUCAGCCAUCUGUCUCUGGGUGUGGUCGUGAUUGGUAUCAGUUGGUCGCUCAAUAUGUCUCUGGAACAGUACAGGCUGGGAAAACGCAAAAGGCGUCGUGAGUGAGACAGGCAAAAACUGUCAUACAUAGGAGGAGUGAAGGACAGGAAAAAACAGCGCUCCAAAAGAAGUGUGUCUCAAAACAAACAAUACCUCACAGUGAUGGGAGGAACUGAACUAAAUAAUUUGGGAUGAUGACAUCCAGGUGUGUGAACAGGUUAUUAGAUACCCGGUGAUUGGGAUCUGGAGAGUGAGCUGGAAAGUGGACUGCGUUCCGGGGAUCUAAGUGUUUGGGAGUGUGAGUUGGAUGUAGACGUUACACCGAGUGGGAAAAUACGUUUGAACAGUCAUCCAACUCGGAAUUGCAAAUCGGGAACUCAGGCCUCUUUCUAAAGCUCCGACCUGAAGAUCACUGACGUCAUCAUGUUCCCAAUUUAUCCAGAGAAUGCCAGACUUUGAUGACACUAUUUGGCCACGAAGGACCGACGUGCCACCUUCCUGUUCAAGUGAGCACAGCACAAGCGAGUACCACUUCCUCCCGAUUCAGCACAUACCUGCCGCCAACUCGGGACCUCUGCCUUGCUAGCACACGUGACCACCCUCCAGAAGCGUCUUAACAGACGGCACCACGCUAAAAGCUAGCUAUUCGCUGGUGAAAGUGGAGACACUAGGCUGAGGACUCUCCCUUCUCUUGGAUUGAGCCUUUUCAGGUCGUAAAAGGGGCCCAGAAAGAGGAGGAUGUCGAACCCAGACACCAAGACGGACCCCUGGCCUCCCCCUCCACCGGCUAGACUCCAGACUGCAGACACCCCUGCCUGGACCAGCACAAACCAGACACAGACAAUACCAGAGCAGCUCACUUUCACAGCUUUGAUUUAAAGAGUUAUAUAGAGGCCAGAGGCCACCUUCAUAUAAGACUGCCCAAUCUCAUAACCUCACUGCCCAACCCUUUAACCAUGUAAAAAUGUAAAUGUAAUGUAAUGCAACCUAUAGAGUGUGUCAUGUCUCACUCAGUCCUUCAGAGAAUCUUGGUUAUCCUUUGGUUUACCAUGAUUCUACCCUACCCUCAUAAGAACGAUUCACUCUUACUGACAAUAGAGAUAUACACUGAGUAUACCUAACAUUAGGUAUACCUUCCUAGUAUUCUAGGGUAGUGUAAUAGUUGUGUAACAGUGUGUAAUGCCAAUUUAAGUAAGUUGUGGGCCAUUCUCGAACAGACCAGGCUUACUUUACUGUUAAGACAGAGUAAGGUUUGUUUGAAGCCCGUUGUGGGAUAAAAAGGGAGUUAUGUAAACUGUGGAUUAGGGUUGUUUUGUAAAGGGAUAUACCCCCCAGAAUGAGAUUGGAAUUUGGUUUUGGACUGGCUCUGUGGGCCUGUUUUUAACAGGCAUACCUGCACAUGCUAAUAUGUCUGCAUACCAAAUGAGCACCCUAUAUUCCCUACAUAGUGCACUACUUUUACAUAAUACAAGUAAAACCCUGUCUGUGAUUCUCUAUCCCUCUCUCCCUACAUCCCUCUUUCCUUCUCACGCACAUUCCUCUUGCUAACUCCCUCCCUCGCUCUCUCCAUCACUAUCUAUUCUGUCUGUCUCUGGGUGCCUCAGCUGAGUAGCUCAGUUGCUGCAAUGCUACAUGAUCUGGUUUUCAAUGCUAGAGCAGAGCUGCUAGUUAGAGGGGGAAGGGUGCUGUGGUAUGGGAACUCAGGCUAGACAGACAGUUAUCUACAAGCCCAGGAUCCACCAUAGAGAGAGGGUACAUUUUCUUCCCUAUAAUGUACACUUUCUUCAACACACCACCAUCUCCCUCCUCCAAUUCAUCCUUGAUCUUCUCCCCAUUUCUGAGCCCCAGAGCCACCCUGUACAUCCCGCCCUCUGCAUCCCAAAGCCCCCCUUUAUCCUCCACCCUUCCUUCCCCUUUCCUCAUUCUGCAACCCAAAGCCAUGCUGUACCCCCUUUCCUUCCACCCCCUUCUGCACCCCAAAGUCACCCUGCACUCCCAUCCCAUCCCCCUCUUCUGCACCAUUUUGCCCCCCUCCUCCUUCUCAGUGCCAUGUUCUCUCCGUUCAUCUGCCAGUGUCUUUCCUGCCUGUGGGGCCAAUGGGUCAGCAGUUUGAUAAACACAUAAAGCAGCCUUGCUACACCAUGAAGGCCCCUGAUGGCCCCUGGUGGCCCAUGACACUAGUUCCCACAGCCCGCCUGUCUGUCACUCCAACUGACUGACAACAGUCACCCUAACCCUCUCUUCACACCCCUCCCACCCAUUAAUCCCCAUCCCUGCCCCCCACCCUGGACAGUUGACAAUCCGUUAGAGAAGGGAUGGGCGUCUCUUUCUCUCCCCCUCUCACUCACUCUCGAUCUUCUCCCCAUUUCUGGCCCCCAGAGCUACCCUGAAGAGCCAAAAAGAAAUCAGAUCAUUCUGGAUCCUAUUUUAACAUCAAAAUAUCAAUCAUGGAAUACCUGGAUAUGUUAUAUGAAAUAGCUUACUUUUUGAAUCAUAGGCUUCCAUCUCAGUUGUCUUACAUGGUACUGGAUUUUUUGUUGUUGUCUAGAGCUCUGCCAUUAAUGUAAAGUAGUCCUAACUGUCCAUACAAAAUAUAUAUAUUGUUGUAUUUGUUGUUAUUGAGCAAAGUAGUUACAUUUAUCACAAUAUUACUUUUUCUCCAUAACGCCCAGCUCUAGCAACUCCCCCAAAAAUUACUUAUGGUAAUUGCUCGCUGAUUUAUCAUUGUCACAAAAAAUGGGUACAUUUAUUACGAUAUGGAUUUUUUUCCAUAUCUCCCAUCUCUACCCUGAUGCCACCCUCCCCCUUGCAAAAUAACACAGAUGCUCCUGUGAAGCCAGAGCCCUAUACUAUGAAUAAGGUUUGAGGAGUUAGCGAAGUAACUUUGGUCAACUCUGAAUUCAACUCGGGAUAACAGGUACCACAAAAGUGGUUCAACUUUUAGCCAGGUACAUUUCUAUGGCAACCAAUCCUUCAGAACUAAUCUGCUACAGGGCAGGCUAACUCAGGGCUAACUCCAUUUAUCCUGAAGGAAGUGUGAGUUGAGGACCAAUGAAAUCAGAUUCAAGUCAAAUGUUUUAUUUGUCACAUGCGCCGAAUACAAGCCCUUAACCAACAAUGCAGCUUUAAGGAGCCUUUUGGACCUAGACUUGGCUCUCCGGUACCGCUUGCCACGCGGUAGCAGAGAGAACAGUCUAUGACUUGGGUGACUGUAGUCUUUGACCAUUUUUUGGGCCUUCCUCUGACAUCGCCUAGUAUAUAGGUCCUGGAUGGCAGGAAGACUGGCCCCAGUUAUGUACUGGGCUGUAUGCACUACCCUCUGUAGCACCUUACGGUCAGAUGCUGAGCAGUGAGCAGUUACCAUACCAGGAGGUAAUGAAACCAGUUCAGAUGCUCUCGAUGGUGCAGCUGUAGAACUUUUUGAGGAACUGGGACCCAUGCCAAAUCUUUUCAUGCCAAUUCCCUCCCUCUCGCAAAUAUUGUCAUCAUCACCUUCAUUUGAGGAAGAUGACUGAUUCAAUAUUUUAUUAAUCAAAUGUUUUUUUGUGUUAAAAUACCUAUCACAUUACACAUUUACUGUAGUAAUGACAGAAUGCAUUUGAAAUGUCAUGCACAGUAAAACUUUUGUCUGACUUAAUACAAUUCUAUUAUUGAUAGGAAUGGGAGAAAAGGGUGCUUGUGUACACCAAAGCACACCAAAGAUGGCAUUGAUGAUAAGUAAUAAAAUAAAGUUGGCACUUCUUACAAGCCUAUUUCACUCCAUAGCCUGCUGAAUUUGCAAGAUAACUUUUCUUUCAUUUUUUAUUCUCAGCAUAAAUUAAAAUAUGACAUU
This 3979-nucleotide long non-coding RNA is filed under the name Salmo salar (Atlantic salmon). RNAcentral's name for it is "lncRNA (ENSSSAG00000102014.1)". Lineage: Eukaryota; Metazoa; Chordata; Actinopteri; Salmoniformes; Salmonidae. The record is from RNAcentral.